This 519-nucleotide ribosomal RNA is filed under the name uncultured bacterium. RNAcentral's name for it is "bacterial SSU rRNA". It matches the Rfam family "Bacterial small subunit ribosomal RNA", at positions 8 to 518 of the family's 1533-position model. The record is from RNAcentral.
AGAGUUUGAUUAUGGCUCAGGAUGAACGCUAGCGGCAGGCUUAACACAUGCAAGUCGAGGGGCAGCGUGGGGGUAGCAAUACUCCCGACGGCGACCGGCGCACGGGUGAGUAACGCGUAUGCAACCUUUCCCAGACAGGGGGAUAGCCCAGGGAAACUUGGAUUAAUACCCCGUAGGCCACGGAUGGGCAUCCGUCUGUGGUUAAAGUUCCGGCGGUCUGGGGGUGGGCAUGCGUGCCAUUAGCUGGUUGGUGGGGUAACGGCCCACCAAGGCGACGAUGGCUACGGGGUCUAAAAGGAUGGUCCCGCACAUUGGAACUGAGACACGGUCCAAACUCCUACGGGAGGCAGCAGUGAGGAAUAUUGGUCAAUGGGGGUAACCCUGAACCAGCCAUGCCGCGUGGAGGAAGACGGCCCUACGGGUUGUAAACUCCUUUAGCACGGGAAUAAACUCGGCCACGCGUGGCCGACUGAAGGUACCGUGAGAAUAAGCAUCGGCUAACUCCGUGCCAGCAGCAGC